UCGUGUAUGGUGUAACGGCUAACAUUACCGCCUUUCAUGUCUUUCGAGAGUGAUCGCGGUAGCUCGGGGUUCGAUUCCCCGUACGCGAA
Non-coding RNA from Psilocybe cubensis, 89 nucleotides. The record is from the annotation of a RefSeq genome assembly. NCBI's taxonomy places the organism in Eukaryota, Fungi, Basidiomycota, Agaricomycetes, Agaricales, Agrocybaceae.